Molecule: RNA transcript, 4617 nt
Organism: Lolium rigidum
Lineage: Eukaryota; Viridiplantae; Streptophyta; Magnoliopsida; Poales; Poaceae
Gene name: pre-mRNA-splicing factor ATP-dependent RNA helicase DEAH7-like
Exons: 3
Source: RefSeq, a predicted model, not a curated record
GCCCUUCCGGCCCCUCCUCGAAAUCAAAAGGAUCUUCCUAUUCGUCGUGCAGGGACACCCAGGUUGCUGACAGGAGGCCCUCAGCAGCAGCAGCUGAUAGAAAUCCCAAGAUCACCGAGGAGAUGAUGCAGGAGAUGGAUUAUGACGCCGACCGCGCUUGGUACGACCGUGAAGAAGAACACGGCGCUGUAUUCAGUGCUGACAAUUGUCUUGGAGAUGAUGCAUCCUUUCGAAUUAAGAAGACGGCAAAGCUGACUCGCCACGAUGGAACUCGGGUGACUCUUGCUCAGACCAAAAGGCUGUCACAUAUCACCGCCGAGAAUGCUCGGUGGGAGGACAGCCAGCUGUGCAGAUCCGGAGCCGUUCGAAGGACAGGGGUGCAGACAGAGUUCGAUGAUGAAAAUGAGCGUAGAGUGACACUACUUGUUCAUGACACGAAACCCCUGUUCCUUGAUGGACAGGCAGUGUUAUCAGAGCAAGCGGAGCCUGUGACGCCGCUCAAGGACCCAACGUCCGACAUGGCUAUCAUCGCACGCAGAGGCUCUCUUAUGGUCAGGGAGAUCCGUGAGAAGCAGAGUAUGAACAAGUCGAGACAGCGCUUCUGGGAGCUUGCCGGAUCGAAGCUUGGUGAUAUUCUGGGUGUCGAGAAAACAGCUGAACAGGUCGAUACUGAUACAUCGGUUGUUGUUGGUUUUAAAGAGAAGCUGAAAUUUUCACAGCACAUGAAGGAAAAAGCAGAGGCCGUCAGUGAUUUUGCAAAAUCGAAAUCUCUUUCUGAGCAGAGGCAAUAUCUUCCCAUAUACGCUGCCCGGGAUGACCUUCUAGAGGUUGUGCGUGAGAACCAGGUGGUCGUGGUCAUUGGCGAAACUGGUUCCGGGAAGACUACCCAGCUCACUCAGUAUCUUCAUGAGGAUGGAUACACAAGGACUGGCCUCGUCGGUUGCACACAACCAAGACGUGUGGCUGCCAUGAGUGUCGCUCGGCGUGUCAGCGAAGAGAUGGGGACUGCGCUUGGGGACGAAGUUGGAUAUGCUAUCCGGUUUGAGGAUGUAACGUGUCCUAACACGAAGAUAAAGUACAUGACAGAUGGAGUGCUUCUCCGCGAAACAUUGAAGGAUGCUGACCUUGACAGAUACCGGGUUAUCAUCAUGGAUGAGGCGCAUGAGAGAUCACUCAACACUGAUAUUUUGUUCGGUAUACUGAGGAAGGUUGUUGCAUGUCGACGGGAUUUUAAGCUAAUCGUCACGUCUGCAACACUAAAUGCAGACAAGUUCUCGAAAUUCUUUGGAGGCGCACCUGUAUUUCACAUACCAGGCAGGACAUUUCCAGUGAAUAUCUUGUUCAGCAAAACGCCAUGUGAAGACUAUGUGGAAGCGGCAGUGAAGCAGGCCAUGGCAAUCCACAUAACGAGUGGCCCUGGGGACAUACUCAUCUUCAUGACUGGGCAGGAAGAGAUUGAGGCUGCUUGCUAUGCGCUUGCCGAGCGCAUGGAGCAGCUAGUAUCAUCAUCCACCAAGCCUGUACCCAAUCUCUUAAUCUUGCCCAUCUAUUCGCAGUUGCCCGCUGACUUGCAGGCCAAGAUCUUUCAGAAGGCGCAAGAGGGCACUCGCAAAUGCAUCGUUGCUACCAACAUCGCCGAGACAUCCCUGACAGUAGAUGGUAUUUUGUAUGUCAUUGAUACUGGGUAUGGAAAGAUGAAGGUACACAAUCCACGGAUGGGCAUGGACGCUCUUCAGGUGUUUCCAUGUAGCCGAGCAGCGGCAGACCAGCGUGCGGGGCGUGCAGGAAGAACUGGUCCUGGCACAUGCUACAGGCUGUUCACCGAAUCAGCUUACCAGAAUGAGAUGCUCCUUAACCCCGUGCCAGAGAUCCAAAGGACCAACCUUGGGAAUGUGGUCCUUUUGCUGAAAUCUCUCAAUGUCGAAAAUUUGCUCAAUUUCGACUUCAUGGACCCACCUCCCCCGGAGAAUAUCCUGAACUCCAUGUACCAGCUCUGGCUCUUGGGCGCCUUGAACAAUCUGGGUGGCCUUACAAGUCUAGGUCGUAAGAUGGUGGAGUUCCCAUUAGACCCAACCCUGGCAAAGAUGCUUCUCAUGGGGAAGGAGCUGGGGUGCCUUGAGGAAGUACUGACAAUUGUGUCCAUGCUCUCGGUGCCAUCGGUAUUCUUCCGGCCAAAAGAUCGAGCAGAGGAGAGUGAUGCCGCAAGGGAGAAGUUCUUUGUCCCGGAAUCUGACCAUCUGACACUCCUCAAUGUAUACAAGCAAUGGGAGUUGAACCAAUGCAGGGUAGACUGGUGCAGUGACCACUUCCUCCAUGUCAAGGGUCUCCAGAAGGCUCGGGAAGUGAGGUCUCAGUUGCUGGACAUACUAAAUGCCCUGAGGAUCCCGCUGACUCCAUGCUGUAUGGAAUGGGACGUGGUGAGGAAGGCCAUCUGCUCAGCAUACUUCCAGAAUUCCGCACAGCUGAAGGGCAUUGGAGAGUACGUCAACUGUCAGAAUGGGAUUCCGUGCCAUCUGCAUCCCAGCAGCGCCCUCUACGGUCUCGGCUACACCCCCGAGUACGUCGUCUACCACGAGCUUGUCCUGACAGCCAAGGAGUAUAUGCAAUGUGUCACUGCAGUUGACCCACAAUGGCUGGCGAAGGUGGGUCCCAUGUUGUUCUCUGUGAAGGAGGGCGACACCUCCUUCCUUGACCGCGGGAGGUGGCAUGAUGAGGAGAAGUCGACCAUGGAUGAGAUGGAGAAGAUGAGGCAGGAGCAAGUGGAGGCGGCAGGCAGAGAGAAUGGGAGGCUGGAGAAGAGAGGCAAGCGGCAGCAGGUUGCUAUGCCGGGACUGAAGAAAGGUUUGGCGUAUAUGAGGCCCAAAAGGAGGAUGGGUUUGUAGGUAGGAAAUGUUGAUUGGGUAUGUUUGAUGUGCUGAUAUAGUCUACCCUCUUAGUAUGUACAGAUGUGGGACACUCACAAUAAUGAAUGCAUUAUGAUUUUAAUUCUAAUGGAUUUUGGUACUCCUCAACCUUACUUAAUUUCUUAGUAAAUAAUGGUUGUAGAAUCCUAUUACUACUUCGCUUGUUUAGUUAAAUUGUGAACCAUUUUGGCAGUAACAUUUAUACCCUACAUAUCUCACCCGCAACUGUGGCAUAAGAAUUUCAUUGUACGACAUCAAGUGCUUUGUGUUACCUAGGUCUUCUAAUUCUAAUUUAGUGUGUGUCCUAUUCUCAAAAGAAAAUUAAGUUUGUCCUUUGAGAAGUUAUUUGUACAUUAUCAAGAGAGCUUUCUGUUGUUUUCUCCAUUAUUCAGCUCGCUGCCUUUAUGAUGUUUCCGCAUUACACAUGCUUAAGUGAGUAUGGUCUGAUCAUAUGGACGCAGAAACAUCAUCUAAUCGACACUUGGUAGGUUGUUGAUCAGAUUUAGAUUGAGUUUCCUCUAAGACCCAUUUACAUGGAAAGAGUUUUCUCCAAGAUCAGAUUCACAAAACAAUGAAUAUGUUUUGUUGCUGUAUAUAUGAAGAUUUAUCUGAUUAUAUGCUGCAACCUUAUUUUGGAAUUCAGAUUGCCAGUUGAACCCUGAAUUUUCUACAAUUCAAGUUUCAUGCCAUCUCUUACCUAGGUUUGUACGGAUUUAUCUUAUAUGUUUCUUUUUCCAUGAUAGCUCAUGGAACAACAAGGUCUCUGAUAGCUCAAUAUUUCCUUUGGUUCACAUUAAAUAGGAGCAGGCUCAAUUGUAAAAUCUACUGCAACGAUUUUGGUCUCAAUAUCUUGUAUUGUCAGUUUCAACAAAAACGAACUCUAGUUUCUGAGCUUAUGGAGUACGGGAUGUCCAAGGAUCCUCAACGGAUUUGAAUGCACAAACAGUGUCUGGGGAAGAUGACAAGACCUUUGAUGAUACUGUUGAUAUUGAUUUUGCAUGAUAAGUUAGGAAGAAGCUCGUAUAUGUUGAACUGCACCUGCCUCAGCCUGCUGUGCUGCAAGAUUGAGUAGCAAUGCUAGUUUGCUUCCAGGACAUGUUUUUCUUCUUCUUUGAUUGAGGUGUGGCGAAGGUUUCGUUUCGAAUAAAGGCUGCAGCACCAGCUGAAUCUGCAUAUCCCAACGCGAGAAAUGGAUUAUCAGAACAAGAGAACAAAUGCUUUUUUUUCCCUUUGUGUGAAAAGAAAAAAAUACAUAGGUACCAUGAUUGUUGAUCAAGGAGGAGGAGAAUAAACAGAGCAGAUGCAACGCAAUCGAAUGGUCUUACCGGUUGGCACCUGCAACGAGCCGCAAGCCAUCUUGCAUGAGGUGGCGCCGAUGGCGGUAUCUGCAGUGGUCUGCUCACCUGAUCAGGCAGAGCCAUGGCGGUUGGUUUUGCCUGCCCAGAGGGUUGGCCAGGCCACUGACAGCCACCUGCUACUGCUCUCCGACAGCAUCAGGAGGAGCAUGCGCGCCCUCUUCGUGAUAGCUUCUUCUUCAGGGCCGAGCGAGGAGAGAAAUGUUGUGGAGUUUGAGUUCUGAUGGUGAAACCAAUAUUUCACUCGUAUAGUACUUUCACUAUUUCCCAGCAAAUUAAUGGAUACAGUUUCAAGUUGAGUGUCCUAUAUCCAGCUCUGCCACGGUAUUCAUUUUCUCAACAAAAUGGGACUUUGUGUA